ACACUCCUACGGGAGGCAGCAGUGGGGAAUUUUGGACAAUGGGGGCAACCCUGAUCCAGCAAUGCCGCGUGAGUGAAGAAGGCCUUCGGGUUGUAAAGCUCUUUUGUCAGGGAAGAAACGGUAGUAGCGAAUAACUAUUACUAAUGACGGUACCUGAAGAAUAAGCACCGGCUAACUACGUGCCAGCAGCCGCGGUAAUACGUAGGGUGCAAGCGUUAAUCGGAAUUACUGGGCGUAAAGCGUGCGCAGGCGGUUGUGUAAGUCAGAUGUGAAAUCCCCGGGCUCAACCUGGGAAUUGCAUUUGAGACUGCACGGCUAGAGUGUGUCAGAGGGGGGUAGAAUUCCACGUGUAGCAGUGAAAUGCGUAGAUAUGUGGAGGAAUACCGAUGGCGAAGGCAGCCCCCUGGGAUAACACUGACGCUCAUGCACGAAAGCGUGGGGAGCAAACAGGAUUAGAAACCCCUGUAGUCCCAUG
RNAcentral lists this ribosomal RNA (475 nucleotides) under uncultured organism. RNAcentral's name for it is "partial 16S ribosomal RNA". It matches the Rfam family "Bacterial small subunit ribosomal RNA", at positions 333 to 799 of the family's 1533-position model. The record is from RNAcentral.